GAGUUUGAUCGUGGCUCAGGACGAACGCUGGCGGCGUGCCUAAUACAUGCAAGUCGAGCGAACGGACGAGAAGCUUGCUUCUCUGAUGUUAGCGGCGGACGGGUGAGUAACACGUGGAUAACCUACCUAUAAGACUGGGAUAACUUCGGGAAACCGGAGCUAAUACCGGAUAAUAUUUUGAACCGCAUGGUUCAAAAGUGAAAGACGGUCUUGCUGUCACUUAUAGAUGGAUCCGCGCUGCAUUAGCUAG
RNAcentral lists this ribosomal RNA (250 nucleotides) under uncultured microorganism. RNAcentral describes it as "partial 16S ribosomal RNA". It matches the Rfam family "Bacterial small subunit ribosomal RNA", at positions 9 to 248 of the family's 1533-position model. The record is from RNAcentral.